This is a non-coding RNA of Kogia breviceps (pygmy sperm whale), 745 nucleotides long. The record is from RefSeq and is a predicted model, not a curated record. Lineage: Eukaryota; Metazoa; Chordata; Mammalia; Artiodactyla; Physeteridae.
CCCAGGACUGCUCAGCUGCCCUGCUUUCUCAAGAGGCCAUGCUUACAGCCCAGGUCGUGGCCACAGUUGGAGGACCAGACAGCAUCCUGGGACAGGCCCAGGAGGCCUGGCGGUGGACAGAGAAGCUGCUGUGGGGGAUGGGCCGGCCCAGAGGGACAGCUGUGUGGCAGCUGAAAUUGAAGGGGCUGGUCCACAGGGCCCAGAGGCUGCACCCUCAGCUUCUGCAGCUCCUAGUCAAAGCUGGAGUGAUGCUGUGAGUGUGGAGCUGGUGGCAUGCCAUGCGCUGGCGGUGCCCCUCCCCCAAGGUGGGGCAGCGGGCAUUGCCCUCCUGCUGGAUCAGAUCCAGGGUGCCUUCCCUGUGCCAGAUGCCGUAGGCCAGGAGCUGCCCAAAGCUGAAGGUGUUCUCCAUCAGGCACAGCAGACCAGGGAGGGUACAGCCAGGGCCCUGGACCAAGCACUGGAUGUUUAGGGAGUGCUGGCUGAGGCAGGAACUCAUUCAAGGGCUGCAGAGCAAGGGCUGCAGGUGGUGAAACAGAGACUUCGAGGUCUGGAAGCCAGUGUACAGGAGGUGAUACCCCACCCAUACCCCUCAGCUCCCUCACACCUCUUGCUCAGAGGCUGCUGUGAUCCCCAUUCUUUCCCUGAGAUCCUUGACCAAUUGUGAUACCAUGGUGCUAAAUACCCUGAUCAUGUAAUGCUCUACCCUGCUGUGACCUCUCUGUGAUUCCCCAAUCUUUGCCUCAGG